AUGAGUUAAGUAUAAACCCCUUUACAAGUAUCAAUUGGAGGGCAAGUCUGGUGCCAGCAGCCGCGGUAAUUCCAGCUCCAAUAGCGUAUAUUAAAGUUGUUGCAGUUAAAAAGCUCGUAGUUGGAUUUCUGUUAAUAAUUUAUAUAUAAUAUUUUAAAGAUAUUUAUAUAAUAUUAACAUAAUUCAUAUUACUAAUUAAUUAGUAUAUGAAAUUUUACUUUGAGAAAAUUAGAGUGCUUAAAGCAGGCAUUAGCCUUGAAUACUCCAGCAUGGAAUAAUAUAAAAGAUUUUUAUCUUUUUUAUUGGUUCUAGGAUAAAAAUAAUGAUUAAUAGGGACAGUUGGGGGCAUUUGUAUUUAACAGUCAGAGGUGAAAUUCUUAGAUUUGUUAAAGACAAACUAGUGCGAAAGCAUUUGCCAAGGAUGUUUUCAUUAAUCAAGAACGAAAGUUAGGGGAUCGAAGACGAUCAGAUACCGUCGUAGU
RNAcentral lists this ribosomal RNA (482 nucleotides) under Cryptosporidium sp. apodemus genotype I. Its description in RNAcentral is "SSU rRNA". It matches the Rfam family "Eukaryotic small subunit ribosomal RNA", at positions 514 to 1024 of the family's 1831-position model. The record is from RNAcentral. Lineage: Eukaryota; Apicomplexa; Conoidasida; Eucoccidiorida; Cryptosporidiidae.